Esox lucius (northern pike) is the source of this 3743-nucleotide long non-coding RNA. RefSeq lists it as uncharacterized. The transcript is spliced from 3 exons. Lineage: Eukaryota; Metazoa; Chordata; Actinopteri; Esociformes; Esocidae. The record is from RefSeq and is a predicted model, not a curated record.
CUCAACAUUUUUUUAAAGAUAGAAUCGGCACGAGAGAGUUCCGCAUGGCUUGUCCUGCUCUCUUCAUUAAUCUGACACCGUCUCCCUCCCCAUCGCCCCCUCACGAUUGAUGCUCUACUUAAUUUACAUCCGGCCCUCCUUUUCACUACCAUAAACCCGGUCCAAGGAGCGGGUUGGUCUCCGCCGAGCGAGAGAAAGAAGCGAGUCGUGAUCGCGCACUGGAACUAAUUAAUGAGCCAGGGUUCCGUUUAUGUUAAGCAAUGUUUGAGAGAAGAGAAGGACAGGAACUUAAUUACAUGGAGCUGGAGACGAGAAUAGCAGCCAACGAUUUGGUUGCAAAAGGGGGCUAGGCCGUUUGAAGGGCUUGGGGUUCUUUAUAGGCUUGAGCUAGCUCAUGCUCGUAGUGCUGCCUGCCUAGCUGUCACUGUGUGGACAUUAAACCCUGUGUCACAUUGUUUCUUAAGAUUUGUGAGCCGUGUAUUUCUCAUGGGUGAUGUGUCCAAUGGGCUGUAGCGUUGGAGAUUAUUUUACUCUUGGUAAGGAAAGCGAACACUCUGGGUUCUGCUGAAUAACCAAGCAUUGUUUAAUAAUGGCUGACAAUUGGGAAUCAUUGGUACCUUGGUGUUAGGAGGUUCAUCGUCUGAAGGGAAACAAGUCGGUAUGAAAUGCCAUGCUGUGCCACAUGUUGGCCAUUUUCGUUAAGGCAAUCAAUCAGUCGCGGUGUGCCUACAUACACGUGCAAUGUUAUUAGAUACAUGUGAUCAUUGAGUGUCCAGAGCGUGCCUGUGUGUUUGGAAUGUUUCCUAACCUUAGGGAAAGGGGGUGUCAGGAAGGGAGCCUGAGGUUAGCUGGGGGAGCCCACAAGAAUAUGUAGCUGCCAUAAAACAAAGCUGGGUUUCCAAAUACCUUGCUGAUGGAUUUAUAAACUUCAGACUGAAGAAAAGAGAGCACUGUUUAUUUAAGAUGCUUAGAUCUGAUUCUUUUUUAAGGCUGACCACAAUUUAUAGUAGAACAAAAAGAAAAGGCUACGGAAAGCCUCAGUGUGGUAUGUUAAAAAGACAAACCUGAAACAGAAGAGAGGCAGGGGGAAAGAUUGCCUUUCCAUGCAUCUCGGGAUUUUCUCUGCCUCCUUCCAUCCCUCCCACACAUGUGCUGUGAGGCCCUGGUCCUCUGGAGACCCGUAGGGUGCAAAGGACACUGGGAAUUUAACAGCGCUCUCCACACCUCGCUGAAACAAGACACAUGGGUCUGUGGUCUGCAUGUGCCUAGUACCAGAGAACGGGUUUCAGCGCUCACCAGGCCCUCACCUGUUUUGCUGCCUGGAGCUACAGAAAAACCUCAGAACAGCCAACCUCAAUACGCCACUGUGACAGACAGACGCAAAGGGAAGAAUGGUCAGAAGGGUGACGACAGCUUGGUUUUGUGUGGAAGAUGGGGCUGGGCGUGUAGGAGUGGGGAAAGACACAGCACCACAGUAUUCCUAUGGGGUUGGGCAGGGUGGUCAGCCAACCCUGUUCCUCAGAACUCGAAAAUGCCUUAUCCCUGCUGGGGCGGACCGCCAAAGCCGCAGCUGUUAUAGAGGAAACCCUGACCAUGAGUGACGCAGCUCAACCCAAACAUCCACAGCGACACCACGACACCAUAGACCCAUGAAAAUGCAGCACAACCAUUACGCUAUUGUGGCAUUUCCAGCCUAAAAAUGAAUCUUAAUCACCUGUUGCCUAAAAUCCACUUCACUGAAUCAGGACACAAUGAUCAAGCAAAUAAGUCUCUCAUCCACUCAUCUCUGUCAUCACAGACCGACAUGAAUCAUCCCUUGUUGGAUUUUGUUUAGUUUUUUUAAGACACCGUUUUGGGAAUUUGUAUGCUUUUUUGAGAAGAUGUGGGGAAAUAGCAGGGAAUCUUUGCUGAAAGAGCAGCGUGUCAGCUGUUAACCUAUGACGCUGCAGUAGCAGAUGUCCACCGGAGGCAGCAUCUCAGGCCACUGUACUACACCUGACCACUGUACUACACCUGACCAAUGUACUACUCCAGGCCACUGUACUACCCCAAGCCACUGUACUACCCCAAGCCACUGUACUACCCCAGGCCACUGUACUAACUCAGGCCACUGUACUAGACCAGGCCUCUGUACCACCCCAGGCCACUGUACCACCGCAGGCCUCUGUACCACCCCAGGCCACUGUACCACCCCAGGCCACUGUACCAUCCCAGGCCACUGUACCAUCCCAGGCCACUGUACCAUCCCAGGCCACUGUACCCCAGGCCACUGUACUACCCCAGGCCUCUGUACCACCCCAGGCCACAAAUGGAAGACUUUCCCUGCCUCUCAGCCGCAUACUGUUUUAUCUGAGAGAGAUUCCCUGUUUCUGGUAAGAAGCUAUUCUGGUCUAGUUGGUUAUAAAUAAGAUCUCUGUCUUAUCCUCUCUCAAUCAAUUUAAUUUUAAUUUACAAUGACACAUAUUUUAUAAGCUCCUGUACAUACUAAGUUUUAACAAUGGCAAGGGAAAAUACAUAUGAUCUAUGGGAAAUAGUGUUUGUGUCUCUAAUGUGGUUAUUCAUUUGGGAGGAUAUUAGGAAAUGCAGGUGGUUUCUCACCUUUUUGUGGGCCAUGUGAACAAGCCCCAGAUCGACCCUUGCCGUGUUUAUUCAGGUUUGAUGAUCAGUUUGCUACAACACAGAAUUCUGCCACAAUAAAUCCUUGAAGCAGUGCCCAGGAUGCCGCUACACCCCUAGUGGGAGCAGAAAGGGAAAAAGCCAGAAGGCUAGAGUCCUGUGGGACAUGGACGUGUUGUGGAAGCCGCAUUGGAGUGACAUUUUCAUCUAAAAUUGUAACCAGGAGUAAUUAUUUUUAUUUAGGAGGGGGUUUAGGAUCCAUGUACACUAAGGUUCCAGAGGAGUAUGUCCAGUGGUUCUCCACCAAUUCCCACAGGACACGCUGAGAAUGCUGGGAAGUAAUUGAUGAGAAUGACUGGCCCUCCUCAAGCAGUUGGUCCACAGCAGGGCUCUGUGAGGGGAGAAUCCAAAGCCUCAACCAGGCUUCACACAAACUGAAAUUGACACGGAGCAUGACCUACUGUACGCCAAAACCCCCAAACUCUUGUGAGCAGUCGGUGAAACAGUGAUGGUACAAGCCACAUGAUAUGGAAUAGCAAAGUUUCCAGAAUGCAAAACCAGCAUGAAAGACUUCAUCCAUGAUUUGAUUUGUUUCUGGCUGUUAAUAACUCAAAACAGAGUGGUUCCUACAAAUGUUCUAACUUGUUAACAGUUAAAGUUAGAAAAUAUGACCCCAUUCCCGAUAUAUAAGAUUCUCAGAAACAUGUAUCUGUUUGCUUCAGAACCAUUUAUAACAGAGUGGUCAAUGAUUAUGAAGUCAUUUUACCAAACUAUUGCCUGAUCUUCCUUCAUACAUUUCAAAUCUUUCUUCCUUAAGUUGUUGAAUGAAUAACAAUUCUGAACAAUAAAAACACUGACAUUUUGAUAUUGGUGCACAUAGCUGUAACGUCUGCUCCACGUGGCACCGCGGCUCCCCUUCCUCGCCGGCGCUCCACCCUCGCCGGUGUAUUUACCACCGGCAGGAGUGUGAUGGCAGCAGUGCAUCCCCAGGACGCACCUGUUUCCAAUCACUGUUCGGUUGUGUAUAUAUUCUGUUGUUCUUACGGAUUAUGAUUUGUCUGACGUGGCCGUGUUGGUGCGUCUUGUUUUACCUUUACAAAAAAAAGACUAAAGAAAGACUCAUUGAU